UCAUUGCUGAGGAGUCCCAUACUAGGACGAAACGGCCGUCAAGUGU
RNAcentral lists this non-coding RNA (46 nucleotides) under Schistosoma margrebowiei. The record is from RNAcentral. Lineage: Eukaryota; Metazoa; Platyhelminthes; Trematoda; Strigeidida; Schistosomatidae.